GCUCCUUUGCCAAAGGCAACACAAAGACACGCACCUUCUGAAGAGCCCGAAGGCUCUGUUGAUCCGGGGAUCGCUGAAGCGACUGGAAAGAGGACAGAGCCACAGGAGGCGAAAGGAAGGCAAGCCGUGGAUCUUUUAAAAGGAGCACCCCGAAAUCGGAGAGUGAACUGCGGAGUGUUGUUGUGUAUCGUAGCGCCGAGUUGGGCUCGCCGGAUACGCUGCUUGGACCGCCGUAUUGCUCUCUCUCUCUCUCGUUGGACCUUAGCUUUAUGCCAAGGAGGAUAUCGACAACCUUAUAGGUGGAAUACUAGACGGACACUGACGUGGACGAGAGGAACGGAGGAAGAGGGAAACUUGCUGCUGUGAGUUUGCAUCUGUGAAGAAGUGAUAUGGUGGCUGGAAAAAGCCUCAUUCAUGCAUUUGGAGAUUAUUACAGCGUGAAGUCAACCUGGGACGAAGGCAGACAGUAAUUUGUUUUCAAGAGCGAGCGAGUGGCCCUACCCCUGUAUCAGCGCGGUGGGUGAGCCGAAGGGUCCUUGUGUGGAAGCAGCUACAGUGACGACAACAAAGAAACACUAGGCCAUCUACCAUCUCCCUUUUUUUCGCCCAGAGCAAAGUGGAAGAAGACGGGUGUCAUUGUGUGCACUGAGCGUGGUGGGUGAGUCUUUGGAUAUAGAAAUUUUCACUUGAACUGGUGCUGUGUAAUGCUGUGUAUUGCAGUGAGAGUGCUGUGUCUUGUCUGACGUAAUCCCGCCUUCAGUCACUCGCCCCGGGACGACGAAGAGGAAAAACGGCGCUAGAAAACAUCUGUACAAUUAUGCUGUAGUGUGUUUCAGUUUAACAGUAUUACGGAGUGGCGGUGAAGAAUUGUGCGAUUGGCGGUGUGUGUGAGUAUUACACCUACUGUUGUUACUUUACCUGUGUCUGUUCCAUCAUUACAGAGUGGAGGCGAGUGAGAUCCGCCGGCCCGAGGUCUCGACGAAAGGGCGCCCCGGUCCAGUUUUCGAUCGACCAACGGGUCUCGAGGAAAGGGCAGCGCUCGACCCGGUGUGCUGGCGUGACGUCCUCGCCCCUCUGCCAAUCAACGAGUCCGCCGAGUGGGUCCUGGCCCCCGGCGUCUCAUUGCAAACCACUGUCCAAUCAACGCACUGCAUAGCUAGCCAGCGUUAAGCCCGCCACCCGCAGUCAUCUGUGGAGAGAAAGAGAGCCAGCUCGUCUGUGGAGAGAAAGAGAGCCAGCGUGAGCACUGAGAUAUUGAGCUGUGGAGAGAGAGCCAUACCUACCUGGGAGCUGUAACCAGCACAGAGGUGAGAGAGAGAACCUUAGAAUCAAUUCACUGUGCCCUUGCAUCCCGCAGUCAGCUGUGGAGAGAAAGAGAGUCAGCGUGAGCACUGAGAUAUUGAGCUGUGGAGAGAGCCAUACCUACCUAGAAGCUGUAACCAGCAUAGAGGUGAGAGAAAACCUGGGAAACGAUUCACUGUGUCCUUACAUCCCAGCAGUCGUCUGUGGAGAGAAAGAGAGCCAGCUCGUCUGUGGAGAGAAAGAGAACUAGCGUGAACGCUGAGAUGCCGAGCUGUGAAGAGAGCCUAGAGGGGCCGUUAUUUUAAGUUCCCCCUUUUCCCUGCCCUAUUUAUUAUUUUUAAGUAAAUUAAAUAAAGUACAUUUUAAUUUA
Molecule: non-coding RNA, 1672 nt
Organism: Misgurnus anguillicaudatus (oriental weatherfish)
Lineage: Eukaryota; Metazoa; Chordata; Actinopteri; Cypriniformes; Cobitidae
Source: RefSeq, a predicted model, not a curated record